RNAcentral lists this unclassified non-coding RNA (400 nucleotides) under soil metagenome. RNAcentral's name for it is "partial contains 5.8S ribosomal RNA, internal transcribed spacer 2, and large subunit ribosomal RNA". The stretch from base 1 to 122 matches the Rfam family "5.8S ribosomal RNA", at positions 35 to 154 of the family's 154-position model. The record is from RNAcentral.
GAUGAAGAACGUAGCGAAAUGCGAUACUUGGUGUGAAUUGCAGAAUCCCGUGAACCAUCGAGUCUUUGAACGCAAGUUGCGCCUCAAGCCAUUAGGUUGAGGGCACGUCUGCCUGGGCGUCACAUAUCGUUGCCUGAUGCCAGUUUCCUCGUGAUGGGUGACUGUGCAGGGCGAAUGAUGGCUUCCCGUGAGCAUUGUUGCCUCAUGGUUGGUUGAAAAUUGAGUCCUUGGUAGGGAGCGCCGUGAUAGAUGGUGGUUGAGUGACGAACGAGACCCAAUCAUGUGAGACCCCUACCGAAUUUGGCCUUUAUGACCCACAUGCGUCUUUGGAACGCUCAUGACGAGACCUCAGGUCAGGCGGGGCUACCCGCUGAGUUUAAGCAUAUCAAUAAGCGGAGGA